RNAcentral lists this ribosomal RNA (253 nucleotides) under uncultured Gardnerella sp. RNAcentral's name for it is "partial 16S ribosomal RNA". It matches the Rfam family "Bacterial small subunit ribosomal RNA", at positions 100 to 354 of the family's 1533-position model. The record is from RNAcentral. Lineage: Bacteria; Bacillati; Actinomycetota; Actinomycetes; Bifidobacteriales; Bifidobacteriaceae.
CGGGUAGAGUAAUGCGUGACCAACCUGCCCCAUGCUCCAGAAUAGCUCUUGGAAACGGGUGGUAAUGCUGGAUGCUCCAACUUGACGCAUGUCUUGUUGGGAAAGUGUUUAGUGGCAUGGGAUGGGGUCGCGUCCUAUCAGCUUGUAGGCGGGGUAAUGGCCCACCUAGGCUUCGACGGGUAGCCGGCCUGAGAGGGCGGACGGCCACAUUGGGACUGAGAUACGGCCCAGACUCCUACGGGAGGCAGCAGAC